This 88-nucleotide microRNA precursor is filed under the name Canis lupus familiaris (dog). Its description in RNAcentral is "mir-8799 microRNA precursor family". It matches the Rfam family "mir-8799 microRNA precursor family". Lineage: Eukaryota; Metazoa; Chordata; Mammalia; Carnivora; Canidae. RNAcentral also lists the same sequence under 1 other name. The record is from Rfam by way of RNAcentral.
GGGGGGAGGCCGAUCCGGGCUGUGUCCCGUGCCCUGUGCUCCGGAGCCUGCGCUGUUGGAUUCGCGCUCCCGGGCCGCGCAACCCCCU